Molecule: ribosomal RNA, 492 nt
Filed under: uncultured bacterium
Lineage: Bacteria
Description: partial 16S ribosomal RNA
Rfam family: Bacterial small subunit ribosomal RNA
Source: RNAcentral
AGUGAACGCUGGCGGUAGGCCUAACACAUGCAAGUCGAACGGCAGCACAGUAAGAGCUUGCUCUUACGGGUGGCGAGUGGCGGACGGGUGAGGAAUACAUCGGAAUCUACUUUUUCGUGGGGGAUAACGUAGGGAAACUUACGCUAAUACCGCAUACGACCUAAGGGUGAAAGCAGGGGAUCUUCGGACCUUGCGCGAUUGAAUUAGCCGAUGUCGGAUUAGCUAGUUGGCGGGGUAAAGGCCCACCAAGGCGACGAUCCGUAGCUGGUCUGAGAGGAUGAUCAGCCACACUGGAACUGAGACACGGUCCAGACUCCUACGGGAGGCAGCAGUGGGGAAUAUUGGACAAUGGGCGCAAGCCUGAUCCAGCCAUACCGCGUGAGUGAAGAAGGCCUUCGGGUUGUAAAGCCCUUUUGUUGGGAAAGAAAAGCAGCAGGUUAAUACCCCGCUGUUCUGACGGUACCCAAAGAAUAAGCACCGGCUAACUUCGUG